GUAGGUGGCAAGCGUUGUCCGGAAUUAUUGGGCGUAAAGCGCGCGCAGGCGGUUCGUUUAAGUCUGAUGUGAAAGCCCACGGGCUCAACCGUGGAGGGUCAUUGGAAACUGGAGAACUUGAGUACAGAAGAGGAAAGCGGAAUUCCACGUGUAGCGGUGAAAUGCGUAGAGAUGUGGAGGAACACCAGUGGCGAAGGCGGCUUUCUGGUCUGUAACUGACGCUGAGGCGCGAAAGCGUGGGGAGCAAACAGGAUUAGAUACCCUGGUAGUCCACGCCGUAAACGAUGAGUGCUAAGUGUUAGGGGGUUUCCGCCCCUUAGUGCUGCAGCUAACGCAUUAGGCACUCCGCCUGGGGAGUACGGCCGCAAAGGCUG
This 374-nucleotide ribosomal RNA is filed under the name uncultured organism. RNAcentral describes it as "partial 16S ribosomal RNA". It matches the Rfam family "Bacterial small subunit ribosomal RNA", at positions 527 to 896 of the family's 1533-position model. The record is from RNAcentral.